Molecule: unclassified non-coding RNA, 347 nt
Filed under: Hevea brasiliensis (rubber tree)
Lineage: Eukaryota; Viridiplantae; Streptophyta; Magnoliopsida; Malpighiales; Euphorbiaceae
Source: RNAcentral
GGCAAAGCAUUGUGAAAAGCUUAGACAAUUAUUUGAAGAUCAUGAAAGCAAACUAUGUACCUCCAUUCUUGGUCCGCAAAGUUUUCACUCAGAUAUUCUCAUUUAUUAAUGUCCAACUAUUUAACAGCCUUCUUUUGCGGCGGGAGUGUUGUUCAUUCAGCAAUGGAGAGUAUGUGAAAGCUGGCUUGUCUGAAUUAGAACAGUGGUGUUCUGGAGCAACUGAGGAAUAUGCAGGUUCUGCCUGGGAUGAAUUAAAGCACAUUAGGCAGGCUGUUGGAUUCCUUGUUAUACAUCAAAAACCCAAAAAGACGUUGAAUGAGAUAACAAAAGACCUAUGUCCUGUGCUU